Small nuclear RNA from Callithrix jacchus (white-tufted-ear marmoset), 187 nucleotides. Its record names the gene U2. It matches the Rfam family "U2 spliceosomal RNA". Rfam says of the family: U2 is a small nuclear RNA (snRNA) component of the spliceosome (involved in pre-mRNA splicing). The record is from Ensembl. NCBI's taxonomy places the organism in Eukaryota, Metazoa, Chordata, Mammalia, Primates, Cebidae.
AUCACCUCUCGGCCUUUUGGCUAAGAUCAAGUGUAAUAAUAAAAUGUAGGGAAACAAUCAGCAAUGAGUUUAAAGUAUUUAUUGCCUUUGUUUUAAACAUAAUUUAUGUAAUUGUAAGUGUAUAUAAAUACAUAAUGGCUAUGUUAAGAGCUGGCUUGCAUGAUUCCUGAUAUUUUAGCAAUCACUU